AAUUGAAUUUCAUAUUGAGAUCUGUUUUUAUCUUUAUUUUUUCCAUAGGGGGAAGAGGGAUUUUGCAUCUCGUGAUUGAACUAAAUGUAAAAUAAAUUCCACAAAAUCUUUAGAUUUAUUCGUAAUAUAGCCUAUCGAAAAGUUUUGACUUGAGAAUAAUAUAGGUUUAUUAGGCCCAUUUAUUUUUUGAUUGCUCAUUUUGAUGACACUUGGAACACUGAUUGAAAUAUAUUCUUCCAGUGGAGGAGUUUUUUGUGGAUUCCGUUCCCGGACCACCAUGCUCUCAAUCCGAUGAAGAGAAAUCCUAAACAAGGUGAGGCAAACUUUUCUCCUUAAAUUUGUUAGGACAGGAUACAUUAGAUCAAUAAAGAAAGCAUUGUUAUCUUUUUAGCAGACAGUUUGGAUUCAUUAACAAACUUGAACAUUCUAAAGCUGUAAUUUAGUUUGAUCAGACUGGCAGUGCUAGCAGAGUGACCAGCACGUGAAUAGAAAAAUAGUCAUCUUUUCACUAAUAGUUGUAAUUUUCCUAGUUUUCAAUCAGCACCAGAAGCUAGAGUUUGAGGACUAUUUUUCUCUACCAUCUUAUUUUGAUGUACUGAUGAAAGUGUCAUAUUAUCCUGAUCCGUAUGGAGCUUUUAUAGACUAUUUAGAGAAAGCAAUCUCAGUUAAUACACAAUAAAUAUUGCUAAAAAGGCCUAAAUUAAGCUGUACGCCUCUCCCUAUAUUACUACUGGGUUUCAAUUUCAAAGUUUCCUAGUUUUGCUUUAAACAGUUACGCGCUAUGACACCCUCUUUUUACCUGGGUUCUUACCAAUCAAGAG
Molecule: long non-coding RNA, 821 nt
Filed under: Carica papaya (papaya)
Lineage: Eukaryota; Viridiplantae; Streptophyta; Magnoliopsida; Brassicales; Caricaceae
Description: long non-coding RNA (CPAP_LNC015434)
Source: RNAcentral